CUACCUUCAAACUCGUAGCCUCUGUUAGAUCACCCACCAAUAUCCAAUACAAUUUCACUCCUAAAUCCUAAUCCUCCACCGCACCGCUUAAUUCGACUUCUUCUCCUUCCGCCGUAGAUUAUGAACAAGAACAAUGAAACGGGGCAGGUGCUUAGAUCCAAUUGCUAAAACCCUAUACAAAAUUGUUUUUAUAUAAUUGGCGCAAUGUAUGGGUUUGAAGAGUUUGUUUUUCACGUACUGCAAUAAGAGGCGCUUUUAUAUCAGGAAAGACCGGAGGAGAUAACAGACCAGGUUAAUUUAUGUGUCUGAUUUACUUCUGUUGCAUUUAUAGUAUUCAAUCAAGGAAAAAUAAUAGGCAAGUGAUGAAAAAUAUUUUCAACUAAUUAAUAGUUUUUACCUAAUUUAAAACUUUCAAGUCUUAAAGAUGAUUAUUGCUUAAUUAAAACUGUCAAAGAUAAUUAUUACCUAAUUACAUCAUAUAAGCUUAAAGAAAUUCAAGGAAUCCAUUUAUAAAUUACAAUGAGAAAGCAUAUUUAGGUAGAUUGGAGCAGUUGUCAUGGACAAUCGCUGAUCUAUUAUAGUGUCAGGACAUUUCCUGGCAUCCGACAAGGAUGUAAUAUAGUAAAUAAUCAUAUCCAAGUCAUGUUGUGUUACAAAUUUAUCAUGAAUUCAUUCUAUCUAUGCCUCUUAUUUAUAUUAGAUUUAUUUAGGGUACGAACUAACAUACUCUACUGCAUAAGAUAUGGAACAGCGAAGCUAACUACCAGUCUUUACUUUUGUCUCUACUUUACUAGAAUAUUCUUAGCUAACUAAUUGGUCCCUCAGUUUUAUUUAAUUCUACCAUCGCCCUUGGCUUUGCACCAUCGUGUUAAAAAAUGUGUAUAUUUUAAGAUGUUACAGAUAGCAGGUAUUUGUUGAAGAAACAUAUUACAUAAAACGGCCUAAUGUGUAACGAAAUAUGAAAUAGCAUUCGAUUCGAAUAAGAUCUUUAGCUUAACAUGAGAUGUCAUAAACAGUGAUCUGUGCUUUGUGAAGCUGAUCCCUGGGAUGCUGGAAGAUGUCUUUACUCUUUGUAUUGAACAUUAGAAAAUCAAAUGAUAUGGUAAGAAAUUUACGGAUUUUAGUUAACACUUCAAAGCUCAUUCAUUUCUCGAGCAUAAGAUUAUUGAUCAGCAACUAUUGAUUAUAGAAGAAAAUCAAUUUGAAAGAACAGAUUAUUGACAUUUAUUUAACACACAAUACAGAGUUUCUGUGCAAUUAUUCAAUUUUGUAGUAAAAGGUUGAAUGGCUUGCACAGCUCCCUAGGGGCUCUCUUAAACACACAAACACAAGUAGUUUACUAGGUAUACAUAACCAUAGCCGUAGAGGUCUAUAGCGCUUUUCAACACUCUUAUCCCACACUGUUCACGAAGGCCUCUUAUAAAUAUAACUCUCUUAAGCACAUGUAUAACACUUUUCAGACCUUUUGCAUAGCUCCCAUAAGACACCCUUAAACACGUAUACACUAGUAUUCUAGUACUAAAGUUUACCAUUCAUAGAACUUAUGAUCUCGCUGCCGUGCGAGUAUAACAUUGUCUUCUUCGUGGCUUGAUAUUUAGGUGUACAUUAGUUGGAGGCAAAUGUUCCAACAAAUCCGAAUCCUAUUAUGAAAAAAGCCCCUGCUUGCAAGAUCAGAUAUAGGAAGAAGUGAUCAUUGCCAAAAAGCAUGUUGUAGAUGGUACAAUGCGACAAAAACAUUCCCAUAAUCAACUCCAAGACAUGAAUCCUGCUUGGAAAAUCACAAUGUCUUAAUUACAUACUAGAUGAUUCAGUAAAAUGAUGUGUUUAAUGUUCAGAGAGUGCAAUGCUAUGAAUAUUGCCAGCGCCAACUGUUGUUAGCUUAAGAUGUUUAGGUAAAAAUUAGUGAAGUGGCAUUAACUAGACGAAAAUACCUUUCGCCUACGCGUAAUCGGAAUCUGUUUGAUGCUUUGUUCUUUUGCUUAUUUGUGUUCCCUAGCUUCUCAGUCACAAUCCAUUCAUUGACUCGGUUAGCUUCUAGCAGUCCUAUAAAUGUUGCCUUAGAUCGAUGGAGGGACAUGACAUUCUCAAACAGGAUCCAGAAGACGAGCAGAUGCAAGGACCUGCAUACCAGUUGAAAUCACUAUCUUUUUUGGAAAUUAAGAAAGAAUGCUAUUAAAAGAAUAUCAUAUUACCUUAUUUAGGUUUUUAUUACCUUGGAGUACUGCCUGUAUUCAGAAUGGUUAUGGUUGCCGGAAGGUAUAUGGCUAAUGACCUUGGGAGUUGAAUUUCAGGAACCAAUACGCACAUUGGAAUAACCACACAGUAAAAGAAAAAGGUGACCCAAUGUGCAACAAUCUUCCUAACAAAGAAGAAUGCGUAGAUAACAUGAAUCUUCUUCCAGAUGGACACGCGCUGCAUUACAUAACAAGUUCAUUUGUGAUUUUCCUUGGAAGAUAAAUGAAAUCUAAGCCUUCUAUUUUCCGAAUUACUAAUUUAAAAUAGAUGUUUUAAGUUGUCUUACCUUGCAAAGCAGGAUUUCCUUGGUCAUUUUCUUGAAAAGAUUAGCUGGGCCACAUGACCAACGGUGCUGCUGGAAUCGAUAAGCCUUGAAGGUACUUGGGAGUUCAUUUUUGAUCUAUUAAAGAAUUUUUCUUUUGUGAGAUUCUUAUUUUUGAACUUUGGGUAUUGUCAACUAAACGAAGGUUGAAACAAAAUUACCAUUAAGUCCCCCACAAAAACAAACUUCCAACCCUUUAGGCUGGCCCUGACUGCAAGAUCCAUGUCCUCCACUGUGGUUCGAUCUUUCCAUCCACCUGCAUCAUUUAUUGCUUGAAUCCGCCAAACACCAGCAGUACCUACAAUCAUAACAAUUAAGAAUUCCAUUACUUACAUUGCUUUGGAGUGAUUUCUUAGUAGCUACUAUGUCUAAGUGGUUUAUGCUCAAGUAUAAUGAAACUAUGGUUUACCAUUGAAUCCAAAGAAUUGACAUGUUGAGGAGCCCACUUCUUGUUCGACAGAGAAGUGAUAGUUAAGGGACAUCUCCUGUAGCCGGGUCAUUAGGCAUUCAUCCGCAUUAACUAGAGAAUAAAGCAUUUUUAUUAGCUUGAGAUACAUGAAAUAAAUUUUAGAACUGAAGCCUUACUUAUUCCACACAUGUCCAAAUUUUAUAUGCAUGCAUGGGAUUAGGUGAUCAUAUUUAACAAUCGGACCAAUAUCUUAUAUCUAUGUUAUCUGAUAUCUCAUGGAACUACUGAAAAUAAUCAGAAGUUUUACAUGAGCAUAAUACUGUCAUUAGUCUUACCGAAUGCCCAUCUGGCCUGCACCAAACCCAGUUCAGGGUUUUCAAGAAGGUAAGGAAUAGUUCUCCAAAGAAAAUCUUCCUCAGGUUGGAAAUCUGCAUCGAAUAUCACAACAAAUUCGCAGUCUUUCACAUACUGCUUCUGUAGCCCUUCACGUAGAGCUCCGGCUUUGUAGCCAUUUCUGUUGUUCCUCGUCUCAUACAUCACAUUCACUCCUUUCUCUAUCCAUUUAUGGCACUCUAACUCCACCAAAGUCUGCAUAUGUAUGAGCAUGAGAUUAAUAGAAUCCAACUCCUUUCAAUAGAUUCUGUUGGUAGUGUGAUUAUGUUGAAAGAGAUACCCUUAGGACUUCAUUUGUUGAGUCAUCAAGAACUUGAACAAUGAAGCGAUCUGAUGGCCAUGAAAGUGCGCACACAGCUCCAAUUGAGAGCUUGUAGACCUAAACAAGAAGAAGCUGAAGAUGAGAGAUUUUAUAAGAGCUCUCAUAAGUAAGGUUCUUUAUAUUUAUUUGCCUGGUUGCUAUCUCAACAUGUAAGGUAUAUGAUCACAUAUAAGUUUCAAGAGAGAACUCUUUCUCUAAAUGUGUAAUAAUCAUAAAAUAGUCUAAGCUCUACUCCAACAAACAUCUUCAUAAACAAUAAACAAUAGACAAUAGUUAAACAUCUUGCUUUGAAUUUACUAUCACUCCUUGAUGAAUAUUUGAAUUUCUACAGCUAAAUAUGAAAAUUAACUGGCAUACUUACCUUUUCUAUGUUUCCAGUAUUAUGCAUCUACUUCAUGCUUUAUACAUGUGAGUGGAAAUAAAAGCAUUUAAGUAAAUAUAGUGUCAUACCUCUCUUUCGUUAAACAUAGGUAUUUGGAUCAACACCAUGGGAUAGCUUUUAUUUUGCUCUAAAUCUUCUUUCAAGGCUUCCAGUUUGUACUUAGUGUAUCUUUUCUUCCCCAAAAACUUUACGCUUAAGAUCACAGCUGUCAUGUAAAUCCGUUCAACAAAAAGCAUAAUAGACAUAGCUACACAUAUAUAAAAUGCAACAUAUAGAAUUGGCAUGACCACCGGAGCUCGUAUACGCUGCCAAGCAUCAUUGAGGCUUGCCGUGAUACCAUCUGUUGCUCUCACCUCAGGAUCUUGAAGCAUUGUGUUUUGCAUGGUUGCUGAGAUGUUUUGGGUAAAAGAACUGAAUUUUAGGUCUAAAAAAGAAAGAGAGGCUUUAAAGAGAUGAUGGUAAGGGACUAUUACAAGAAGUGCAUCAGAUACUCCCUGUGUUUUUAUGGAUACAGUGUGUGCUUUAAAUAGAAAAUAGGAAUAUAUUAGGGUGAAGAUGAAGACAUGGCCUGGGGCUUAGGUGGAAGAAUGCGAUGAGUGAACCGAUGAAAUAAAACUCUUCGUAGGGAGAGACACCCGGUGUGCAUGCAAGUAAAGACACUGCAACGUAGCAACUUAGCAGCUGGAAUUUUGGCGUUUUAUUGCCGACAAUAAAUGGAAGUCUUAAAAGUCAAUUGAACCAUGGCAACAAUUACUCCAUUUAUGUCUCAGUCUCAUCCUUCUUAAACUCUAGUUCGUUUUUGGAGAUUGUAAAAUUAACUAGGAAACAAUAAAUGUAUUACAUAUGUACACAAACCUGUUAACCUAGUGUUAUCUUACAACUCAUAUUUUACUUUUCUGAUCUGUCAUUAGUCUUCUACAAAUUUGCCUUAGCAUCUCUCAUCUGAAAGGCCUCACUGCCAAGGUGCCUGAUAAGGUCAAAGUUUUGUUUGCUGUUCUCUUGAACACUAAAGAUUUAUAGCAAAGGGCAAGAGGCCUUAUAAGUUCGUUUCUUUGAGUUAGUGUGUCUAGUGCAAUCAGAGCUCGGAAUUUGCUGACUAUAUAUUUAUACACAUUUUUUUAGUUUUUAUUCGUAGACAAUCUCGAAUAACCAAAAAGAUUUUGUAGCUACCUUUCUCUGUAUCUUCAAUGUGGUCUUGCCUCUCUUUUGGCUUAGAAUAUGUGGGCCUUGUUGUAGUUUUUUUUAAUCUCCUAUAAUUUUUGUUUUUAUUUUUGAUAAACCAACAUCUCCUGUAGUUAUGUAUACUAUCCUACAUUAGGUCUUUGUUUUACUUUUUCACUUAUUCAAUCUUUAUGGAGGACUCCUUCACCUUUAUUGUAAUCUUUUUCAUAAAAUUUCUUCUUUUAUCUAAAACGAACAGAAAAAGUUCUCGACUUUUACCCAUAUUUGUAAAAAAUAGAAGCUUAUAUUCGUUAAUUCUUCUAUUUUUACUUUUCAUUUUCCUAGAAGUUGUAAUAAAUACCUUAGUCAAUUAAGUCACAGGAGAUUUUAUUUUAUUUUUGUUUGUUUAUGUAAUUAAGUUAUGUAUUAUUAUAAGCAAUUGUUGUGUCAUGGCAUAUUUAGCCUUCAUUAUAGUUUAGUUAACAUGAUGCGGACGGAAAUUUGAUUAUUGAGCAAUUAAAAGUUGAGUUUCUACUCACACAAUUAUGUAAUUAGAAGUGUAACAAGAUUCUUAGAGUUUAUCACCGUUGAUGAAACUGUGUUUUUAUUUUGCUAAAGUGAUUAGAAUGACUCAUACUUCGAUUCAGGUUCUGAAAAGAAGCCACACCUGUUUUGGUUUAUGUAGACGUGUAGGCAACAUGAUUCUGGUGUGUUCAAAUUGAAUGUUGUCGUCAUCAAAGGUCAAUACAUCAUAUAAGUUGUCACCUUCCUCAUGUAUUAAUUUGCUUUUAAAGUUAAUGAUUGGCAAGUAAUUUGAUCUUGGGCUACGUGUGUUCAUGACAUUUUGUAUUGCUUGUUUUAAGUGCAUUUAUUAGUGUUUUUAAAUGAUCUGAGCUACUCGAUACUCGACUAGAUUUAAUAACUUAUUUAUAUAUUUUUGUUUUAUGUUAUAUAUUAUUUAUGAUUUAUUUUAUUUAUAAUUUUAUAUAAAUAGUUUAAUAUAUUGAAAAUAUAUAAAAUUGUAAAAAUAUACUCAUUACUCUAUAAUUACUCGAUAAUGUUACGAGCUUACGUGCUAACUACUCGACUCGAUAAGUACUAGUGUCAUGUUGGAAAAUGAAAAUCUAUGUUCAUUAAGUAUUUGAUUUGAUUCGAACUGAUAAUUUUUAUAGAGAGUCAAGCUCGAAAAGUCAAUACUUGACUCAACUUGAUCGAUUCGAUUACAGCCCUAGUAUUUAUACAAGUGUGGAUGGUAAGGGUAUGUUUGUGACUGUGAGUGCAUUUUUAGUAACUAUGAUGAUUUAUUUUGAAGUUAAUCUUAUCUAUGAGAAUGCUAACUAAAUAUAUCCUCUAUAAUCUAAUUUUGUGGCUGUAUCUGUUCCAAUCACUAAAUGAUACCAAAGAUAUCUCUGUAAUGUAGUUUAAUCUAUUGUGGAAAUUCGUAUGCCAUCCACUGUGUUGAUGUUAAACUAUGGUGUUCAUGCUAUAUGGAUCAUUUUAAUGGGGUAUUUAGCAUUUUUUUUAGCUUACAUUCUUGUUAUUUUAAGUGUAACUUUAAUUUUCAUUGCUCUGCUAGAUAUUGCUCUGGGAACUUUUAUAUUUGAUCCUCUCUCACUCAUCGCUUCCUCCAUACAUAUCAUUUUCUUCGAUAUUCAUGUCAUUUAUUAUCUUUCAAAACUAGCGACAAGUGUAAUUUUAGACUAGUGUAAGUUUGUUCAAUUGCAGAGAUUUAACAAUUUAAGCUGCCAUAUGAUUGUAUGUUUCUUCUUUUUCAUUCAUUCUCUUGUUUCCCAUAUGUUCCUAAUUUUUUUUAGUUGGUUUGAGUCAUGAGAGGUCAGGGUGAUGAAGAGUAAUAGAAUAUAAGACAAAACGUGGUUUUGAUUUUACAUUUUUUACCUUAACGGAAAAAAAAGACAACAAAAGAAUAUAGGAUAAGAUGCCAUCACGGUGUAGGCUUAUUAUACAUUUUUGGGUAUCAUCGCAAAUUCUGAUAAUACUGAUAAUAUAUACUGAUAAUGUUAUUGUGCUUGUACGUAUAAUGUUCAUAAAUUCUUGCCUGAAACAUUUUGGAUUAGUGUCUGACCAGUCUGGUAGCAAACAGCAAUUUGUGAUGCUAAAUCCAUUUAGUUACAAGUUACAUUUUACAAAGAAACUCCAUUUUCAAAUUUAAUUUAUAUGAGCCCAAUGUUGCAUUUUUCGUUCUUCUCAGCUACUCAAAUGUCGAUUUAAUAGAGUAUAUUUUUUCCCAGUGUUGCAUGUUCCGUUCUUAUCAGUUACUCAAAUGUCUUUUUGGUUUCAAAUAAUUUUAUUAUGGUACUCUAGUUUCGGCUUUUCUUGUUUUAAUGAAAUUUCAAGAGUAAGUUAUUGUGCCUUCUUGAUAUUUGGAUAUUAAGUGAUUAAGAACAUGAGCACAUUCUAUGCACGUUUGCACAUGUAAGAUUGUAAUGAGCAGCAGAGGGAGGAAUGUGAAUAUUUUAAAGAUAUUUUGUAUAAAUGCUAUUAUGACUGCAUUCAAUAUGUUCUUUUUAUCUUUGAUUUGGUCUUUUAUGUGUGAAAUUAAAAUGUUUAUUGAAUGUUUUCUGCAAACCAAGAAGCAAAAGUGCGCUUUAAAAUCGAUUCAUUUGCAUUAUCUAAAAAUUUCCUAUUGGUCAUGCUUUCUAAUUUGUAAAAACGACAGAAUGAAGAUUUUAGUAUAUAAAUGAUUAUUGGUUUCACGGAAUGACUAGUUUUUUAGACUGAAACUGAAAUCUUUUGCAUUUUUGUAUUUAAAUCUUACUGUUACUUUUAUGGUCGUAUGCUCUAUCUGUCAGAGGAAAUACUCUUAUGAGUAGAUAGUAAUAUCUAAUAUAGUAAUAUGCUUACGUAAAAAGAAUAAUAAUGAAAAACCCACCAUAUUCAAAUUGAGUUGUAAUAUUGUAAAAUUCUUCCUCUUUUAUACAUUUACUUUGAAGCACUUCAAGUCUAAAUUUAUAUUUUAGUAGUUUUCUUCCAACUCUUUGUAUCUCAAAAUAUUUCAAGUUUCAGGUUGGCGAUGCUUGCCACUUGAUAUGUUGAUGAACACACUAUGCUGUCUGUAGGGAUGCUAAGGUGCCUUGGCUGGGUUCUCUUUAGUUUUGUGGGGGAUUUAUAAUGAAAGAAAUGCAACACUUUUUGGGGAUAAACAAUUUUAUAUGCACUUGUUGUGAGAUUUGAGUCGUUUUGAUUGGGAAUAAGAUACAGGAGGCGGUUUAGGGUAUUUCAGUUUCAGAUUUGUUGAGGGUUGCGGUCUUUUAGAAUUGCCAUGUCCCUUAUCUUUGUUGGCUCCAAAUUUCUAAACAGAUUGUUACAAGUUACCACUACAAACGAUACUCCAGAAUUCUUGGAGGAAAUCCCAAUUUCUUGUUGAUGCCAAUGAUCUUUUGUUUCAUUUUGUUGGUAAUACAGAUUCUGGAUCUUCUGUAUUACUCAUGGUCGCUCUGGAUUCUGGAAAUCCAUCUUAAUUAGCUGUACUUUUUGGACAUUUUAUGGCUUCCUUGCAUAGUUGCCUGACUAGUCCAUAAAUUGACAAGUCA
Molecule: long non-coding RNA, 8775 nt
Filed under: Panax ginseng (ginseng)
Lineage: Eukaryota; Viridiplantae; Streptophyta; Magnoliopsida; Apiales; Araliaceae
Description: long non-coding RNA (PGIN_LNC014609)
Source: RNAcentral